This is a long non-coding RNA of Eucalyptus grandis, 1210 nucleotides long. RefSeq lists it as uncharacterized. NCBI's taxonomy places the organism in Eukaryota, Viridiplantae, Streptophyta, Magnoliopsida, Myrtales, Myrtaceae. The transcript is spliced from 2 exons. The record is from RefSeq and is a predicted model, not a curated record.
CCGAUAUCCGCCACUCAUCACUUGACAUUGGUACUGUACGAGGCCAGUGGCAUGCCGACACAUGGCUUUUCAUGGGAGGAGGAGUUGGUGGGAUGAAUCGGGAAAAGGCCCGGCAACUGCGGGGAUGAUAAAUGCAACCCCAACCAGAGAUUUUGCUUUGUGUAGAGUGGAGAGUUCCCUUGCCGAUAAGGUUAGCGAUGAACGAAAUCGCCCCAAGAGCGAGUUCCCCGCAAGAGAUGGCGAGAUGAUCAAAAAGAGAUUUGAGCGGCUUCUUUUCUAUCGGGAUUCAAGACACUCGGGACAAAGCAAUAUUGGCAAGUCCUGGACAGCGGGAAUCACUCGCUUGUAUCCUUUUCCUCACAGUGAGCUCUGUUUAUGAAGCAUUUGUCCUUCUGUGGAAUUGCGGAUUGUUCCUGCUGUCUAUCUCUUCUGCAAAAUCAGGUACGACUUCCCAUCCAGGAAGGACAAAAGGUGCAAAAAAGAACUCGGGGCACCAAGUGAAAGAUGAGCUUGACUCAAGAUGCCUCGAUGGACAUGUAGGGACAUUAGGAUGGCUCGCUCUUUCCCUACACUCGUUAUUAGAAUCGUUGGAGCGUUCAAAGGAUUUUUUUGUUAAAUAGGUGAUAUUGAUAAUUAGCAAAGCGUCUUGUGCUCGUUAACAUAGACAAUGAAAUUACGAUCGAAAAAAAACAUAGACGAUGAAACAUUAAGAGAAGUGAACUCUCUCAAAAAUAAAAGGUCUAUUGUCAAUACGUGGUAUGUAUCAAAUUUAACUGGGGAGAAGAAUCCAUCGUGUAACCGGUACGCAUGCGCACCCGGGGACAGUUACCCACCCCCGCCCUUUCAUUUGGCUGAACCUUCCUCGAAAUGCAAGCAUGGACCAAGGGUCGGCUUCACGGCCAUCCACUAGGGAUGUGUGCACGGCGCAUCCAGUGGUAACAAUAUAUUUUUCAAGCCUUGUUACCGGCUUUACCUAGUCUUUCCUAGGAGGCAGCCUUUCUCACUACCCAACCGGGUUCUCCCCUCGGGUCUGCCCUCAAGCUGGCAAGAGCCUUUUAAAGUCCUGUUCAAGACCUUACUCAAAAUAAGAUAUUAGAGCCGACAGAAAGUGUUGUAUUCAAAUUUAUCGAAUGUAGUAAGAUGAGAGGGCUAUAGAAGGCCAUGGAAGUAAAUAUCGAUUCUCAUGAAAAAUUCCUUUUAUUGCACUAAA